This 391-nucleotide unclassified non-coding RNA is filed under the name soil metagenome. RNAcentral describes it as "partial contains 5.8S ribosomal RNA, internal transcribed spacer 2, and large subunit ribosomal RNA". The stretch from base 1 to 122 matches the Rfam family "5.8S ribosomal RNA", at positions 35 to 154 of the family's 154-position model. The record is from RNAcentral.
GAUGAAGAACGUAGCGAAAUGCGAUACUUGGUGUGAAUUGCAGAAUCCCGUGAACCAUCGAGUCUUUGAACGCAAGUUGCGCCCAAAGCCAUUAGGCCGAGGGCACGCCUGCCUGGGCGUCACACGUCGUUGCCCCCCCAUCUACUCCUUCGGGAUUGCGGGGGGCGGAUGAUGGCCUCCCGUGCGCCUCGUCGCGCGGUUGGCAUAAAUGCCAAGUCCUCGGCGACGCACGCCACGACAAUCGGUGGUUGCGAAACCUCGGUUGCCCGUCGUGUGCGGUCGUCGCGCAUCGAGGGCUCGAAAAAAUUGUCGGGCUCCGGCUCGGCUUUCAACGCGACCCCAGGUCAGGCGGGGUUACCCGCUGAAUUUAAGCAUAUCAAUAAGCGGAGGA